AUACGGAGGGUGCAAGCGUUGUUCGGAAUUACUGGGCGUAAAGCGCGCGUAGGCGGUCUGUUAUGUCAGAUGCGAAAGUCCUCGGCUCAACCGGGGAAGUGCAUUUGAAACUGGCAGACUUGAGUACUGGAGGGGGUGGUGGAAUUCCCGGUGUAGAGGUGAAAUUCGUAGAUAUCGGGAGGAAUACCGGUGGCGAAGGCGACCACCUGGCCAGGUACUGACGCUGAGGUGCGAAAGCGUGGGGAGCAAACAGGAUUAGAAACCCCAGUAGUCC
This 274-nucleotide ribosomal RNA is filed under the name uncultured bacterium. RNAcentral's name for it is "partial 16S ribosomal RNA". It matches the Rfam family "Bacterial small subunit ribosomal RNA", at positions 523 to 796 of the family's 1533-position model. The record is from RNAcentral.